UCAUCUCUUUCAUCGCACGUAGGCUCAACAUCCAAGUCAGCGUAACGAGGCCCAAACUAUUCUGGUUGGAUGAAUCAACUUGAGAUGUUAAAAUAUUCCAUCGGCAUUCCUGGUAUAGUGAUAGAAUAAUAUUAGGCACAUCAAGCCUAACUAGGCUUGCUUAUAUCUUUAUAGAUCGGUGUAUGACAAAGAUAUAUAUGGUCCAAUAGCUCCCUCAAGCUUCGUGUAGUUCCUCCCCUUCAGCUUGGACCAAAGAGGACUUAGCAGAAGAUAAAGCCUUGGUUUGGUAAAGACAUCUGCCAAUUGGUACAUGCUGGAAACAUAGCAUACCCGAACUUCACCACGCGACACUCUCACCGGGUAAAUCCGGAGAAGGGGAACUUCAACUAAGAAAGAAUAAGAAUAAGCAGAAUUGCUUAAGUAAGGUAGUCGCUUCUUUUUUUCGGUAUACU
Molecule: long non-coding RNA, 452 nt
Filed under: Nicotiana benthamiana
Lineage: Eukaryota; Viridiplantae; Streptophyta; Magnoliopsida; Solanales; Solanaceae
Description: long non-coding RNA (NBEN_LNC025226)
Source: RNAcentral